This is an RNA transcript of Mus musculus (house mouse), 5227 nucleotides long. It is a transcript of the gene named ArfGAP with GTPase domain, ankyrin repeat and PH domain 3, with no coding region annotated. The record is from RefSeq and is marked validated. The transcript has 17 exons. Lineage: Eukaryota; Metazoa; Chordata; Mammalia; Rodentia; Muridae.
UGAAGCUCAGAGAAAGCAUAAGAUUUGCUUGUCUCCUGGCUCAGAAUUGGGUCUUCUAACGAAUCUGGACGGCCCUGGAAUCCUGGGUCUUGGUCUUCCCUCUUUGGAGAAAGAGAAAAUGGUUCACUUUUCUGCAAAAAACGGUCUCUUGUGGGGUGUGCUUGAGGACUGUUAUUUAUUUGGCCUGCUCUUAAUGACAACUCCUCACCUACCUGCCCAGUCUUAGGAGGAGCCCUGGCUGGAAUUUCCUGUUUUCUGAGGGCUCCUAGGGGCUGCCCUGCACCGCCGUUCCUGGGUGUUCCAGGCCAGACUUGCCGCCUCUCCUGGUUAGGCUGGCUCCAGGCCCUUCCAGGUCUGGGCUUGCAGGCUCAAGUGGAGGAGUCGAGGGACUCCAUCGGCCCGCACCAGGUGCCCAGAGGCCGAGGUCCGUGCGCCCCGGCCGCGGCCCCGGCCUGGGCCCAGCCCCGCGUCCCUCGCCAUGGGCCUGGCCUUCGCCUGUGGGCCCUGAGCAUGGAGCGGGGCUGGUCGCCGGGGGAAAGCUGCAGCGGGGAGCGGCCCGCCGUCUGCCGCCGCGCCCUCAGCGUCUGCGACUCGCUGGACCUGCACAGCACCUCGGCCGACCGGACCGCCGCCGCCCUGCAGGCCGCCUUGUGCGCCGCACGCGAACAGCCUUCGCGGCCACGGAGCGUGUGCUCCGGGACUCCGGGGUCGGCGCCCUCCGGCGCGCGCGGCCUGCUGCUUGGCCUCUUGCGCCCGCGCCACGGCCGUCGGGGCCCUGCGCCCUCAGAACGGCCCGGCUCGCCACCGCCCAGCCCUGAGCUCAGCCCCGCGCCUAUCCGGCGCAGCCGCGGACCUGGAGAGAGGGCAUCCAGGCCGCGGCCCACCAGCAUGACGUUCCUGGAGGUGAACCGUCUAGAGCUGGCGGCGACGGAGGCACCGGGCGCAGGGCUUGGCCGCACGGGGAGUUCGGGCUUCCUGCGGGGAGCGUCCCUAUGGAGUAGCCAGCGCUGGCAGGUGUUCCGUGGUGGUGGCAGCCGCGGCACGGAGAGUCCCCGGCGCGGGCUGUCGGCGCUCAGGAAGAGUUUUAGCUUCCGUCUGCGCCGCGGCCAGGAGAUCCGGCGCUCCGAGUCCGGGCUGCUUGCCCGGCCACCCCGCGCGCGCACCCGCAGCGACGGCGACGCCAGCUCCCUGGGUACCUUCCCCAGUCGCCGAGAUUUGCUGGGCGCCGAUACCCCGUGCGCGCCACCAGAGCCGGGCCGCCCCCGCGCCGCCGCCAGCCUCUGGAAGCUGCUCACCAGCCGCUUCCGCCGGAGGGAGCCCGCGCCCUCAGCGCCGCUGUGGAGCCGCCGGGCAGCCGCAGCCCCAGGACUCCUGGGCGCGCCAAGCGACUCAUUUGUGAACAGCCAGGAGUGGACCCUGAGCCGCUCUGUGCCAGAGCUUAAAGUGGGCAUAGUGGGCAACCUGUCUAGUGGGAAAUCAGCCUUGGUUCACCGAUAUCUGACAGGGACUUAUGUCCAGGAAGAGUCCCCUGAAGGGGGUCGAUUUAAAAAGGAGAUUGUAGUGGAUGGCCAGAGUUACCUGCUGCUGAUCCGGGAUGAAGGAGGCCCCCCUGAACUCCAGUUUGCUGCCUGGGUGGAUGCGGUGGUGUUUGUGUUCAGCCUGGAGGAUGAAAUCAGCUUCCAGACGGUGUACAACUACUUCCUACGCCUCUGCAGCUUUCGAAAUGCCAGCGAGGUGCCCAUGGUGCUGGUGGGCACACAGGAUGCCAUCAGUGCCGCCAAUCCCCGGGUCAUUGAUGACAGCAGGGCCCGCAAACUGUCCACAGACCUGAAGCGCUGUACCUACUAUGAAACAUGCGCAACCUAUGGGCUCAAUGUGGAACGAGUCUUCCAGGACGUGGCCCAGAAGGUGGUAGCCUUGAGGAAGAAGCAGCAGCUGGCGAUCGGGCCCUGCAAGUCCCUGCCCAACUCACCCAGCCACUCGGCCGUGUCAGCUGCCUCCAUCCCAGCUGUGCACAUCAAUCAGGCCACCAACGGAGGCAGCAGCGCCUUCAGCGACUACUCGUCCUCAGUCCCCUCCACCCCUAGCAUCAGCCAGCGGGAGCUGCGCAUCGAGACCAUCGCUGCCUCCUCCACCCCCACGCCCAUCCGCAAGCAGUCCAAGCGGCGUUCUAACAUCUUCACGCUAAUGAACCGGAGGCCGGAAGGCUGUUUGCCCAAGGCGACACAGAGGGUUAGCUGGCCGAGCUAGAGUCCCAGCCAGGCCUCCCAGUCCGCCUUCCGGCUCUUUUUCCGUUACCCCACUGCCGAGGGGAACAUUCAUGCUUCCCACCUACCGCUGUGAUUGGUUUAACAAAGGCUUAGCCAUCUUUUCCUGGGCUUCACCACGCUGCCUCGUGCCUCCCGCUCAGAUAUGUGCCACUGUUUCCAACUUUUCAUCAACAAAAAGGCCUUUCCAACUCCUUCCAAAUUAGAAGACCAGGUGGUGAUACACAGCACCUCUGGACAUUCCCCCUGUGCGGGCCGGAGGCGGGCCGGGCCCUGGGACUGCUCUCAGAUGAGAAGCGGCCGCCGAGCUCCCCGCUCCAGAGACCCACAGGAACCUUUGUAACUAACCCUACCCCCAGGGAAGGCUAGGAACGCCGGAGCCCGCGCUGGGGGCUGCCGGGGGACCAGGCCCGGCUGGAUGCUGCGCCAGGCUCGCUGAAUGGAGAAGAAGGGAGCUCGGCCCACGCCGGCCGGCCAAAGCGAAGAGGCCCAGAGGGGCGGGGGCACUCAAGCCCGCUGGCCCAGCUGCUCCUGGGGGGAGCUUUCCUGCCCCUCCCCUCCUCUGCUCCUUCCUGCAUGGACUUCUGCCGUUCCUGCUCCUGCUCCGGAAGCCGCCGCCACCGCGCUUGCCUUGCCCCCUCUUUUUGGCCCCUCCCCCCUGUUUCCUAGGAUCCGCAUUUGGGUGGACUCUGCCCCAGGAGCUUGGCAGGGUGCAGGCCCUCUUCUGGCCUCUCUCCUCUCUCUCUCCAUCCACUGUGCCCCUCGGGCCACACCGACAUGCUCGGUGCCGUGUGGUGUCUGUGCCGCAAAGAGCACCUGCCCGCUCACUUCCGGACUUUGCUCUCCCUGGUUGUCGUGCCCUGUGCUCCUGGCCAGCCCUCAGCCCCACCGGGCCACCUCUCCUCACCCCUCCCUUCACUUAACAAACUCCAGGCCCUGGGCUGCACACUCAUUGCGCCCUCCGUAUUUUGUGUCCUUGCUCUUUGUGAGGGGCGGGCCUGGCUCAGUGACCUGUGCUGCUCUGUAUGGUGCCGUGUGUAAGAAUAAACCCAUUGGAAUACUCGUGUCUUGGUUCCUUCCCGACCCGCCGUCCAGGCCAAACCCAGAGUUAGGACUGCCCAGGAGAGGGAGGAAAACGGGAGGGUGGAGAACGACAGGCGGGCAGGACUCGCCAGAGAGGCCCCAGACCUCUAACGUGUUUGUUCUUUUCUCUUUCAGUCUCGAAAAGGUGCUGACCUGGACAGGGAGAAGAAAGCUGCGGAGUGCAGAGUGGACAGCAUCGGGAGUGGCCGGGCCAUCCCCAUCAAGCAGGGGAUCCUGCUGAAAAGAAGCGGCAAAUCCUUGAACAAGGAGUGGAAGAAGAAGUAUGUGACGCUGUGUGACAACGGGUUGCUUACUUACCACCCUAGCCUGCACGAUUACAUGCAAAACAUCCACGGCAAAGAGAUCGACCUCCUACGGACUACGGUGAAAGUGCCAGGGAAGCGUCUGCCCCGAGCCACACCCACUACAGCCCCAGGCACCAGUCCCCGUGCCAACGGGUUGGCAAUGGAGCGGAGUAACACACAGCUGGGUGGGGCCACAGAGGCAGAGGAGUCCUUUGAGUUUGUAGUGGUGUCCCUCACUGGUCAGACCUGGCAUUUUGAGGCCUCAACAGCAGAAGAGCGGGAACUAUGGGUGCAGAGCGUGCAGGCCCAAAUCCUCGCCAGCCUACAAGGAUGUCGCAGCGCCAAGGACAAGACUCGGCUGGGGAACCAGAACACAGCCCUGGCGGUGCAGGCUGUCCGCACGGUCCGCGGCAACAGCCUCUGUAUUGACUGUGAAGCCCCCAAUCCAGACUGGGCCAGCCUGAAUCUGGGUGCCCUGAUGUGUAUCGAGUGCUCAGGGAUCCACCGACACCUGGGAGCUCACCUGUCCCGAGUCCGCUCCUUGGACCUUGACGACUGGCCACCUGAACUGCUGGCCGUCAUGACUGCAAUGGGCAACGCCUUGGCUAACAGUGUCUGGGAGGGGGCUCUGGAUGGUUACUCUAAGCCAGGCCCCGAAGCCUGCAGAGAGGAGAAAGAGCGCUGGAUCCGAGCCAAGUAUGAGCAGAAGCUCUUCUUGGCCCCGCUGCCAAGCUCAGAUGUGCCGCUGGGACAGCAGUUACUCCGGGCUGUGGUGGAGGAUGACCUGCGGCUGCUGGUGAUGCUGCUGGCCCACGGGUCCAAGGAGGAGGUGAACGAGACAUACGGGGACGGUGACGGGAGGACAGCCCUGCACCUGUCCAGUGCCAUGGCCAAUGUGGUGUUCACACAGCUGCUCAUCUGGUACGGGGUGGACGUGAGGAGCCGUGAUGCCCGAGGACUGACCCCACUGGCCUAUGCCCGUCGUGCCGGCAGCCAGGAGUGUGCAGACAUCUUGAUCCAGCAUGGGUGUCCCGGGGAAGGCUGUGGCUUAGCACCCACUCCCAACAGAGAGCCUGCCAAUGGCACCAACCCCUCCGCAGAACUGCACCGCAGCCCUAGUAUCCUAUGAAGCUCAGGAAGAGGGCAGAGGGACCAGAAGGACUCCACGGCCUGCAGGAAACAGACGGAGAAGCAGGGGUGUGCAGAGAAGAGGGGGUGCCACGGGUUCAGGGGUAAAGAGGUUUGGGGUUGAGCUGCAGCAGAGCAAGCUGUGCUCAGCCCUCGGCCCUAUGGUGCCAUUAAAGGAUAGAACCCUUUGGAGGUGCCUGUGAGGAGAGGGGGGCAGGACCUCUCCCUCCUCCAGAACCCUGCCUCCUCAUGACAGCUCCCACCAGCCUUCCCUGCGGUGGGUGGGGAAGGACAGGACACAGGAUGGGGGUGCCAGCUGAAAGACAAAGGGCCACUCUGGGAGCCCCAUGUAAAAUUUGUACAUUGGAAUAUUUAUGUUGGUGUAUAUACGUGGUGUGUGUGUAUGAUGAGCCAAUAAAGCAGGCUGUAUGUGUGGCCUCCUUU